GUCCCUGUAGCGCAAUGGAUAGCCCGUUGAACUUAUCAUCCAAAGGUCAUGAAUUCGAAUUCCGACUGGGAUG
Trichonephila clavipes is the source of this 73-nucleotide non-coding RNA. NCBI's taxonomy places the organism in Eukaryota, Metazoa, Arthropoda, Arachnida, Araneae, Nephilidae. The record is from the annotation of a GenBank genome assembly.